GAUGAGCGCUGGCGGCGUGCCUAAUACAUGCAAGUCGAGCGAACAGACGAGGAGCUUGCUCCUUUGACGUUAGCGGCGGACGGGUGAGUAACACGUGGAUAACCUACCUAUAAGACUGGGAUAACUUCGGGAAACCGGAGCUAAUACCGGAUAACAUGUUGAACCGCAUGGUUCAACAGUGAAAGACGGUCUUGCUGUCACUUAUAGAUGGAUCCGCGCCGCAUUAGCUAGUUGGUAAGGUAACGGCUUACCAAGGCAACGAUGCGUAGCCGACCUGAGAGGGUGAUCGGCCACACUGGAACUGAGACACGGUCCAGACUCCUACGGGAGGCAGCAGUAGGGAAUCUUCCGCAAUGGGCGAAAGCCUGACGGAGCAACGCCGCGUGAGUGAAGAAGGUCUUCGGAUCGUAAAACUCUGUUAUUAGGGAAGAACAAAUGUGUAAGUAACUAUGCACGUCUUGACGGUACCUAAUCAGAAAGCCACGGCUAACUACGUG
This 497-nucleotide ribosomal RNA is filed under the name uncultured bacterium. RNAcentral describes it as "partial 16S ribosomal RNA". It matches the Rfam family "Bacterial small subunit ribosomal RNA", at positions 28 to 507 of the family's 1533-position model. The record is from RNAcentral.